UACAGAGGUCUCAAGCGUUGUUCGGAUUCAUUGGGCGUAAAGGGUGCGUAGGCGGCGCGGUAAGUCGGGUGUGAAAUCUCGGGGCUUAACUCCGAAACUGCAUUCGAUACUGCCGUGCUUGAGGACUGGAGAGGAGACUGGAAUUUACGGUGUAGCGGUGAAAUGCGUAGAUAUCAAGUGGAACACCAGUGGCGAAGGCGAGUCCCUGGACACUUCCUGACACUGAGGCACGAAAGCUAGGGGAGCAAACAGG
This 253-nucleotide ribosomal RNA is filed under the name uncultured bacterium. Its description in RNAcentral is "partial 16S ribosomal RNA". It matches the Rfam family "Bacterial small subunit ribosomal RNA", at positions 524 to 776 of the family's 1533-position model. The record is from RNAcentral.